AUGCCGGGGCCGACGCCAUGGUGCACGAAGCAUCCAAGCACCGUGUCACCUACGACGGAGCAGGUGGCUCCUCCGCCGGAGCAGGUGACUCCUCUGCCACGCCAUCUGCCUCCUCUGCCGCAGCCCGUGGUCCACGUAGACGGCGACGACGACGAAGAAGAGGUAGCUGCUUUGGCUCUUCAGAUGGAGCAGGUGUCUCCUCUCCCGCGGGUGACGCCUCCUGUGCCCGAGCCUGUGGUCAUCGGUGAUGUCAACAAAGAAGAUCCUCAGCCGGGUGUUCGUAUGUCGUGGUUGUUGCCUCCCCUGCCCCCACCUUUGGUCGUCGCCGACGAGAACGAAGAAGAUGUUUUCCCUGGUUAG
This 360-nucleotide ribosomal RNA is filed under the name Triticum aestivum (bread wheat). Its description in RNAcentral is "partial small subunit ribosomal RNA". Lineage: Eukaryota; Viridiplantae; Streptophyta; Magnoliopsida; Poales; Poaceae. The record is from RNAcentral.